UUAAGUUAGUAAGGGCGCACGGUGGAUGCCUUGGCACUAGGAGCCGAAGAAGGACGUGACAAACGACGAUAUGCCUUGGGUAGCUGUAAGUAAGCGAUGAUCCAGGGAUUUCCGAAUGGGGGAACCCAACAGGUACUACCUGUUACCCGCAUCUGUUAAGGAUGUGAGGAGGAAGACGCAGUGAACUGAAACAUCUAAGUAGCUGCAGGAAGAGAAAGCAAAAGCGAUUGCCUUAGUAGCGGCGAGCGAAGAGGCAGGAGGGCAAACCGAAGAGUUUACUCUUCGGGGUUGUAGGACUGCAAUGUGGACUCAAAGAUUAUAGAAGAAUGAUUUGGGAAGAUCAGCCAAAGAGAGUAAUAGCCUCGUAUUUAAAAUAGUCUUUGUACCUAGCAGUAUCCUGAGUACGGCGGGACACGUGAAAUCCCGUCGGAAUCUGGGAGGACCAUCUCCCAACCCUAAAUACUCCCUAGUGACCGAUAGUGAACCAGUACCGUGAGGGAAAGGUGAAAAGCACCCCGGGAGGGGAGUGAAAUAGAACCUGAAACCGUGUGCCUACAACAAGUUCGAGCCCGUUAAUGGGUGAGAGCGUGCCUUUUGUAGAAUGAACCGGCGAGUUACGUUAUGAUGCGAGGUUAAGUUGAAGAGACGGAGCCGUAGGGAAACCGAGUCUGAAUAGGGCGCAAUAGUAUCAUGACGUAGACCCGAAACCAUGUGACCUACCCAUGAGCAGGUUGAAGGUGCGGUAAAACGCACUGGAGGACCGAACCAGGGCACGUUGAAAAGUGCUUGGAUGACUUGUGGGUAGCGGAGAAAUUCCAAACGAACUUGGAGAUAGCUGGUUCUCUCCGAAAUAGCUUUAGGGCUAGCGUCGACAUAAAGAUUCUUGGAGGUAGAGCACUGUUUGGGUGAGGGGUCCAUCCCGGAUUACCAAUCUCAGAUAAACUCCGAAUGCCAAUGAAUUAUGGUCGGCAGUCAGACUGCGAGUGCUAAGAUCCGUAGUCGAAAGGGAAACAGCCCAGACCACCAGCUAAGGUCCCAAAAUAAUUGUUAAGUGGAAAAGGAUGUGGGGUUGCACAGACAACUAGGAUGUUAGCUUAGAAGCAGCUAUUCAUUCAAAGAGUGCGUAAUAGCUCACUAGUCGAGUGACCCUGCGCCGAAAAUGUACCGGGGCUAAAACAAUUUACCGAAGCUGUGGAUACCUUUAUAGGUAUGGUAGGAGAGCGUUCUAUGUGUGGAGAAGGUGUACCGUGAGGAGUGCUGGAACGCAUAGAAGUGAGAAUGCCGGUAUGAGUAGCGAAAGACAGGUGAGAAUCCUGUCCACCGUAAGACUAAGGUUUCCAGGGGAAGGCUCGUCCGCCCUGGGUUAGUCGGGACCUAAGGAGAGACCGAAAGGUGUAUCCGAUGGCCAACAGGUUGAGAUUCCUGUACUAGAGUAUGAAGUGAUGGAGGGACGCAGUAGGCUAACUCGUGCGUACGAAUGGAUGUACGUCUAAGCAGUGAGGCGUGGUAUGAGUCAAAUGCUUAUACCUGUAACGUUGAGCUGUGAUGGGGAGCGAAGUUUAGUAGCGAGUGAGUGAUGUCACACUGCCAAGAAAAGCUUCUAGCGUUGUAUCAUACUCUACCCGUACCGCAAACCGACACAGGUAGUCGAGGCGAGUAGCCUCAGGUGAGCGAGAGAACUCUCGUUAAGGAACUCGGCAAAAUGACCCCGUAACUUCGGGAGAAGGGGUGCUGACAUAUGUCAGCCGCAGUGAAUAGGCCCAAGCAACUGUUUAUCAAAAACACAGCUCUCUGCUAAAUCGUAAGAUGAUGUAUAGGGGGUGACGCCUGCCCGGUGCUGGAAGGUUAAGAGGAGUGCUUAGCGGUAACGCGAAGGUAUGAAUUGAAGCCCCAGUAAACGGCGGCCGUAACUAUAACGGUCCUAAGGUAGCGAAAUUCCUUGUCGGGUAAGUUCCGACCCGCACGAAAGGCGUAACGAUUUGGGCACUGUCUCAACGAUGGACUCGGUGAAAUCAUAGUACCUGUGAAGAUGCAGGUUACCCGCGACAGGACGGAAAGACCCCAUGGAGCUUUACUGCAGUUUGAUAUUGAGUGUCUGUACCACAUGUACAGGAUAGGUAGGAGUCUAUGAGAUCGGGACGCCAGUUUCGAAGGAGACGUUGUUGGGAUACUACCCUUGUGUUAUGGCCACUCUAACCCGGAUAGGUGAUCCCUAUCGGAGACAGUGUCUGACGGGCAGUUUGACUGGGGCGGUCGCCUCCUAAAAGGUAACGGAGGCGCCCAAAGGUUCCC
Molecule: ribosomal RNA, 2292 nt
Filed under: human metagenome
Description: bacterial LSU rRNA
Rfam family: Bacterial large subunit ribosomal RNA
Source: RNAcentral